This 481-nucleotide ribosomal RNA is filed under the name uncultured bacterium. Its description in RNAcentral is "partial 16S ribosomal RNA". It matches the Rfam family "Bacterial small subunit ribosomal RNA", at positions 30 to 507 of the family's 1533-position model. The record is from RNAcentral.
UUGAACGCUGGCGGCAUGCUUUACACAUGCAAGUCGAACGGUAACAGGCCGCAAGGUGCUGACGAGUGGCGAACGGGUGAGUAAUGCAUCGGAACGUGCCCAGUCGUGGGGGAUAACUACUCGAAAGAGUAGCUAAUACCGCAUACGAUCUAUGGAUGAAAGCGGGGGACCGUAAGGCCUCGCGCGAUUGGAGCGGCCGAUGUCAGAUUAGGUAGUUGGUGGGGUAAAGGCUCACCAAGCCAACGAUCAGUAGCUGGUCUGAGAGGACGACCAGCCACACUGGGACUGAGACACGGCCCAGACUCCUACGGGAGGCAGCAGUGGGGAAUUUUGGACAAUGGGCGCAAGCCUGAUCCAGCAAUGCCGCGUGCAGGAAGAAGGCCUUCGGGUUGUAAACUGCUUUUGUACGGAACGAAACGGCUCUGGUUAAUACCCGGGGCUAAUGACGGUACCGUAAGAAUAAGCACCGGCUAACUACGUG